This 646-nucleotide ribosomal RNA is filed under the name bacterium YG-79. RNAcentral's name for it is "bacterial SSU rRNA". It matches the Rfam family "Bacterial small subunit ribosomal RNA", at positions 788 to 1433 of the family's 1533-position model. The record is from RNAcentral.
UGGUAGUCCACGCUGUAAACGAUGUCGACUUGGAGGUUGUGCCCUUGAGGCGUGGCUUCCGGAGCUAACGCGUUAAGUCGACCGCCUGGGGAGUACGGCCGCAAGGUUAAAACUCAAAUGAAUUGACGGGGGCCCGCACAAGCGGUGGAGCAUGUGGUUUAAUUCGAUGCAACGCGAAGAACCUUACCUACUCUUGACAUCCACGGAAUUCGCCAGAGAUGGCUUAGUGCCUUCGGGAACCGUGAGACAGGUGCUGCAUGGCUGUCGUCAGCUCGUGUUGUGAAAUGUUGGGUUAAGUCCCGCAACGAGCGCAACCCUUAUCCUUUGUUGCCAGCACGUAAUGGUGGGAACUCAAAGGAGACUGCCGGUGAUAAACCGGAGGAAGGUGGGGAUGACGUCAAGUCAUCAUGGCCCUUACGAGUAGGGCUACACACGUGCUACAAUGGCAUAUACAAAGAGAAGCGAACUCGCGAGAGCAAGCGGACCUCAUAAAGUAUGUCGUAGUCCGGAUUGGAGUCUGCAACUCGACUCCAUGAAGUCGGAAUCGCUAGUAAUCGUAGAUCAGAAUGCUACGGUGAAUACGUUCCCGGGCCUUGUACACACCGCCCGUCACACCAUGGGAGUGGGUUGCAAAAGAAGUAGGUAG